This 270-nucleotide long non-coding RNA is filed under the name Bos taurus (domestic cattle). Its description in RNAcentral is "long non-coding RNA NONBTAT004249". The record is from RNAcentral. Lineage: Eukaryota; Metazoa; Chordata; Mammalia; Artiodactyla; Bovidae.
CAUAAAACUCUCUUCCAUCUUGUGGGUGUUCAGUUGAUUCUAACUUAAUGUGAACAUACAGAUUAGAUACUAUGCUGAGAAUAGGUUUUAGUUAAGAAUGGAGAGCAGGCGAUGGGUUCUGGAAGCCAGAGAUCCCAGAACGGACUUAAAACAGAGAUUCGUAUACAAUGUUGAUCAAAUCAGAGAGGAGGAAGACAGCACGCAGCAGAGGGGGCAUGCACCUCAGCUGGCAGGACCCCUGGGAUUUAACCACACUCAGACCACCUUCGC